AGUGAACGCUGGCGGUAGGCCUAACACAUGCAAGUCGAACGGCAGCACAGUAAGAGCUUGCUCUUACGGGUGGCGAGUGGCGGACGGGUGAGGAAUACAUCGGAAUCUACUUUUUCGUGGGGGACAACGUAGGGAAACUUACGCUAAUACCGCAUACGACCUACGGGUGAAAGCAGGGGAUCUUCGGACCUUGCGCGAUUGAAUGAGCCGAUGUCGGAUUAGCUAGUUGGCGGGGUAAAGGCCCACCAAGGCGACGAUCCGUAGCUGGUCUGAGAGGAUGAUCGGCCACACUGGAACUGAGACACGGUCCAGACUCCUACGGGAGGCAGCAGUGGGGAAUAUUGGGCAAUGGGCGCAAGCCUGAUCCAGCCAUACCGCGUGGGUGAAGAAGGCCUUCGGGUUGUAAAGCCCUUUUGUUGGGAAAGAAAAGCAGCAGGUUAAUACCCCGCUGUUCUGACGGUACCCAAAGAAUAAGCACCGGCUAACUUCGUG
RNAcentral lists this ribosomal RNA (492 nucleotides) under uncultured bacterium. Its description in RNAcentral is "partial 16S ribosomal RNA". It matches the Rfam family "Bacterial small subunit ribosomal RNA", at positions 29 to 507 of the family's 1533-position model. The record is from RNAcentral.